RNAcentral lists this ribosomal RNA (467 nucleotides) under uncultured bacterium. RNAcentral's name for it is "partial 16S ribosomal RNA". It matches the Rfam family "Bacterial small subunit ribosomal RNA", at positions 28 to 507 of the family's 1533-position model. The record is from RNAcentral.
GAUGAACGCUGACCGAAUGCUUAACACAUGCAAGUCCACUUGAAUUUGGGUUUUUAACUUAGGUUUGGGUGGCGGACGGGUGAGUAACGCGUAAAGAACUUGCCUCACAGCUAGGGACAACAUUUGGAAACGAAUGCUAAUACCUAAUAUUAUGAUAAUAGGGCAUCCUAUAAUUAUGAAAGCUAUAAGCGCUGUGAGAGAGCUUUGCGUCCCAUUAGCUAGUUGGAGAGGUAACGGCUCACCAAGGCGAUGAUGGGUAGCCGGCCUGAGAGGGUGAUCGGCCACAAGGGGACUGAGACACGGCCCUUACUCCUACGGGAGGCAGCAGUGGGGAAUAUUGGACAAUGGACCGAGAGUCUGAUCCAGCAAUUCUGUGUGCACGAUGAAGUUUUUCGGAAUGUAAAGUGCUUUCAGUUGGGAAGAAACAAAUGACGGUACCAACAGAAGAAGAGACGGCUAAAUACGUG